This 764-nucleotide ribosomal RNA is filed under the name uncultured Streptococcus sp. RNAcentral describes it as "bacterial SSU rRNA". It matches the Rfam family "Bacterial small subunit ribosomal RNA", at positions 28 to 776 of the family's 1533-position model. Lineage: Bacteria; Bacillati; Bacillota; Bacilli; Lactobacillales; Streptococcaceae. The record is from RNAcentral.
GACGAACGCUGGCGGCGUGCCUAAUACAUGCAAGUAGAACGCUGAAGGAGGAGCUUGCUUCUCUGGAUGAGUUGCGAACGGGUGAGUAACGCGUAGGUAACCUGCCUGGUAGCGGGGGAUAACUAUUGGAAACGAUAGCUAAUACCGCAUAAGAGUAGAUGUUGCAUGACAUUUGCUUAAAAGGUGCAAUUGCAUCACCACCAGAUGGACCUGCGUUGUAUUAGCUAGUUGGUGGGGUAACGGCUCACCAAGGCGACGAUACAUAGCCGACCUGAGAGGGUGAUCGGCCACACUGGGACUGAGACACGGCCCAGACUCCUACGGGAGGCAGCAGUAGGGAAUCUUCGGCAAUGGACGGAAGUCUGACCGAGCAACGCCGCGUGAGUGAAGAAGGUUUUCGGAUCGUAAAGCUCUGUUGUAAGAGAAGAACGAGUGUGAGAGUGGAAAGUUCACACUGUGACGGUAUCUUACCAGAAAGGGACGGCUAACUACGUGCCAGCAGCCGCGGUAAUACGUAGGUGGCAAGCGUUAUCCGGAUUUAUUGGGCGUAAAGAGAGUGCAGGCGGUUUUCUAAGUCUGAUGUGAAAGCCUUCGGCUUAACCGGAGAAGUGCAUCGGAAACUGGAUAACUUGAGUGCAGAAGAGGGUAGUGGAACUCCAUGUGUAGCGGUGGAAUGCGUAGAUAUAUGGAAGAACACCAGUGGCGAAGGCGGCUACCUGGUCUGCAACUGACGCUGAGACUCGAAAGCAUGGGUAGCGAACAGG